This 283-nucleotide ribosomal RNA is filed under the name Oceanobacillus sp. RNAcentral describes it as "partial 16S ribosomal RNA". It matches the Rfam family "Bacterial small subunit ribosomal RNA", at positions 385 to 660 of the family's 1533-position model. Lineage: Bacteria; Bacillati; Bacillota; Bacilli; Caryophanales; Bacillaceae. The record is from RNAcentral.
GACGGAGCAACGCCGCGUGAGUGAUGAAGGUUUUCGGAUCGUAAAACUCUGUUGUUAGGGAAGAACAAGUUGGGUAGUAACUGACCCAACCUUGACGGUACCUAACCAGAAAGCCACGGCUAACUACGUGCCAGCAGCCGCGGUAAUACGUAGGUGGCAAGCGUUGUCCGGAAUUAUUGGGCGUAAAGCGCUCGCAGGCGGUCCUUUAAGUCUGAUGUGAAAUCUCGCGGCUCAACCGCGAACGGUCAUUGGAAACUGGAGGACUUGAGUACAGAAGAGGAGA